This 1250-nucleotide long non-coding RNA is filed under the name Nicotiana tabacum (common tobacco). RNAcentral's name for it is "long non-coding RNA (NTAB_LNC010594)". The record is from RNAcentral. Lineage: Eukaryota; Viridiplantae; Streptophyta; Magnoliopsida; Solanales; Solanaceae.
GAGAAGUACUCAACUUUGUUGGAAAAUAUUAACUUCCAUAAUUUUAUGUUUAGGAGUAAUAAAAUAUAAAUAGACGGAUAUAUUACCUUCCUCGGAUUAACUAAAACUCUACUCUUUCCAAUUCUGUCGUGUGAAUAUAAAUUACAAUAAUAUAAUGCUAACUUUGCAUUUUGAAAUGGUCCAAAGUAGACCGCUAAAGUUCAGAUAUACAAAAAUAUGCCAAAUUCACGAAGGGAAUAACACUUGUAAUCUUUCUUAAAAGUGAAGACAUAGAAAAGACCUAAAUUUCAAGAAACUAUAUAUACUUCUCGAAGGUCAUUAUGUUUUGCUGCUACUCUACUCUUGAAAGACAUUUUUUAAUUCAAUGGAUUUCUCUUCAGUAGAUCAAUCGGCAGCCUUUUCAGCAAGAACUGGCAUACACAACUGAACAACAAAAACAAAUUACAAAAUCCAACAGGCCAAGAAAGCUAUACCGGUCAUUAUUUUUACUACUGACUCAAUCCAUUUAGGCUUAGCCUUCAAUGACAUCACAAUGCGAUGCUUCUGAACAGAAGCUGAGAGCGAUCCAAUUAUAGAGAAAAACGCAAUAGAGACACUGCAAAGGAAAAGAUAAGUUAGAAAAUGCUAGUCAGAACUCCCCUCAUCUGCCAACCAGAAAGAAUAAAAACUUAACGGAACCAUACGCAGCUCCCCUUCAACAUUCUACGUUGAAGAAAUAAAAGAAACUAAAUGGAUAUAUUUUGUAGCAGGAUGUUAGCAUUUAUAACCGAUAAUUGGAUAGACUUAAAAAGAGGACAAAUAAGCACAUAAUCUAUUUGAGUCUAAAAUGUUAUAUACAAACAACAUAUCAACUGCUCGAAAAGGAAUUAUUUUAUCAAAUUUACUAUAGUUUCAAUAAAGUUUCAAACUUUUCAAUCACAACUGUCAAAAUUAAGCAACGCAAAGGUUAAAACACUCCUGAAAGCUUAUUUCUUAUGGGUAUCCUAAAUAAUUGAUAUGAUAAAACAGUUACUUGACCAAAGUGGCAGAGAUUGCACCUCGUGGCUAUCAAGGCAAUUACACCUGGGCAGUUAUGGGAGCGAUACUGUUGAGAAACAUGUCAGGCUAAUAGAAGGGAAAAAUAUUUGAAAGAAAAGAGUAAUAAAUUGUACAAGACAAGACAAGACAAGAUUUACGUAGUUCGACAAUUUUGCCUACUCCACAGUCAUACAAAGAAUAGCUCUUUAUUAAUUGAAGAGAGAAAGAAAAAG